AGCGAACGUUUGCGGCGGGCUUAACACAUGCAAGUCGAACGGGCUGUUCCUUCGGGGGCAGUCAGUGGCGCACGGGUGCGUAACACGUAGGUAAUCAACCCUCUGGUUGGGGAUAACACUUCGAAAGGAGUGCUAAUACCCGGUAUGGCGCAGCGGUCUUCGGAUCGCGGCGAGAAAGACCCGCAAGGGUUGCCAGAGGACGAGCCUGCGGCCCAUCAGCUAGUUGGCGAGGUAACGGCUCACCAAGGCGAAGACGGGUAGCUGGUCUGAGAGGAUGAUCAGCCACACUGGAACUGAGACACGGUCCAGACUCCUACGGGAGGCAGUAGUAAGGAAUAUUGGAC
RNAcentral lists this ribosomal RNA (344 nucleotides) under uncultured bacterium. Its description in RNAcentral is "bacterial SSU rRNA". It matches the Rfam family "Bacterial small subunit ribosomal RNA", at positions 29 to 369 of the family's 1533-position model. The record is from RNAcentral.